UACGUAGGGGGCGAGCGUUGUCCGGAAUGACUGGGCGUAAAGGGCGCGUAGACGGCUGUCUAAGUCUGGAGUGAAAGUCCUGCUUUCAAGGUGGGAAUUGCUUUGGAGACUGGAUGGCUUGAGUGCGGAAGAGGUAAGUGGAAUUCCCAGUGUAGCGGUGAAAUGCGUAGAGAUUGGGAGGAACACCAGUGGCGAAGGCGACUUACUGGGCCGUAACUGACGUUGAUGCGCGAAAGCGUGGGGAGCGAACAGGAUUAGAUACCCUGGUAGUCCACGCGGUAAACGAUGAGUGCUAGGUGUAGCGGGUAUCGACCCCUGCUGUGCCGGAGUUAACACAAUAAGCACUCCGCCUGGGGAGUACGGCCGCAAGGUUGAA
This 376-nucleotide ribosomal RNA is filed under the name uncultured bacterium. RNAcentral's name for it is "bacterial SSU rRNA". It matches the Rfam family "Bacterial small subunit ribosomal RNA", at positions 524 to 898 of the family's 1533-position model. The record is from RNAcentral.